CUUCCUAGGUGGUGCUAUAGU
RNAcentral lists this non-coding RNA (21 nucleotides) under Rattus norvegicus (Norway rat). The record is from RNAcentral. Lineage: Eukaryota; Metazoa; Chordata; Mammalia; Rodentia; Muridae.